AGAGCGAACGCUGGCGGCGUGCUUAACACAUGCAAGUCGAACGCGCAGCAUUCUGUAACAAUACAGGGUGUGGGCGCGUGGCGAACGGGUGCGUAACACGUGGAUAACCUUCCUUCAGGUGGGGAAUAACCCAGUGAAAAUUGGGCUAAUACCGCAUAACAAAACGAUGAGACAUCUUGUUGUUUUCAAAGGCGCAAGUCGCCAGAAGAGGGAUCCGCGGCCGAUUAGCUUGUUGGCGAGGUAAUGGCUCACCAAGGCAAUGAUCGGUAGCCGGACUGAGAGGUUGGCCGGCCACACUGGAACUGAGACACGGUCCAGACUCCUACGGGAGGCAGCAGUGGGGAAUCUUGCACAAUGGGCGAAAGCCUGAUGCAGCAACGCCGCGUGGGGAUGAAGCUUCUCGGAGUGUAAACCCCUUUCGACCCGGAAGAAGCCCGCAAGGGUUUGACGGUACGGGUAUAAGAAGCCCGGCUAACUACGUGCCAGCAGCCGC
This 493-nucleotide ribosomal RNA is filed under the name uncultured bacterium. RNAcentral describes it as "SSU rRNA". It matches the Rfam family "Bacterial small subunit ribosomal RNA", at positions 26 to 518 of the family's 1533-position model. The record is from RNAcentral.